ACCACUCCCAAAUCCUACCACCACCACUAUACCGGGGGGUGGUAACACUGACGAAGCAGUUGACCGCCGACGUCCAGAAAGUGAGGUACUCAGGAGAAUCGGGUUUUAAUUUUCCAUCGCCCCUAGAAUACGGUUAUUACAUGAUGCGGAAGGUGGCUUCCUCCCCCCUCUUGACGGCGGUCAUACUGAUAACCGCCUGUUCGUGGAAAUCGUUCUCAGACGCUUCCCGGGAGAAGAGAUACCUGUACAAUAACAUACACGCACCUGUCACACUAGGUUUCAUCCUCAACCUGCCCAUAUCUGUGGCCAUGCCCUCGUUUUCCCACAAGCACGCGAGGUCCCUCAGCGUUAAGAAUAUCAUCUACGAAGAUGAAGAAACCCCAGAUGCAAUGUACAGGGAUGUAGCCUACUCACCGCAGUUGCAAAAGCUCACUUCAUACUUCGCGCAU
This is a long non-coding RNA of Macrobrachium nipponense, 449 nucleotides long. RefSeq lists it as uncharacterized. The transcript is spliced from 3 exons. The record is from RefSeq and is a predicted model, not a curated record. Lineage: Eukaryota; Metazoa; Arthropoda; Malacostraca; Decapoda; Palaemonidae.